GGAGUUUGGGCCGUGUCUCAGUCCCAAUGUGGCCGUUCACCCUCUCAGGCCGGCUACUGAUCGUCGCUUUGGUGGGCCGUUACCCCGCCAACUGGCUAAUCAGACGCGGAUCCAUCUCGCACCGAUAAAUCUUUUACCCCGAUGCCAUGCGGCACCGUGGUCUUAUGCGGUAUUACCAGCCGUUUCCAGCUGCUAUCCCCCAGUGCGAGGCAGGUUAUCCACGCGUUACUCACCCGUCCGCCACUAAGUUAAGUUCCAUCCGAAAACUUCCCUUAACCCCGUUCGACUUGCAUGUGUUAGGCACGCCGCCAGCGUUCAUC
RNAcentral lists this ribosomal RNA (320 nucleotides) under uncultured Butyrivibrio sp. RNAcentral's name for it is "partial 16S ribosomal RNA". The record is from RNAcentral. Lineage: Bacteria; Bacillati; Bacillota; Clostridia; Lachnospirales; Lachnospiraceae.